GAUGAAGAACGCAGCGAAAUGCGAUAAGUAAUGUGAAUUGCAGAAUUCAGUGAAUCAUCGAAUCUUUGAACGCACAUUGCGCCCCUUGGUAUUCCGGGGGGCAUGCCUGUUCGAGCGUCAUUUCAACCCUCAAGCUUCUGCUUGGUCUUGGGCCGUGCCGGCAACGGCUGGCCUUAAAACUAGUGGCGGUGCCAUCGAGCUCUACGCGUAGUAAUUCUAUCUCGCGUCUGGGCUUCGGUGGACGCUGGCCAGCAACCCCCAAUUUUCUAUGGUUGACCUCGGAUCAGGUAGGGAUACCCGCUGAACUUAAGCAUAUCAAUAAGCGGAGGA
RNAcentral lists this unclassified non-coding RNA (330 nucleotides) under soil metagenome. RNAcentral describes it as "partial contains 5.8S ribosomal RNA, internal transcribed spacer 2, and large subunit ribosomal RNA". The stretch from base 1 to 120 matches the Rfam family "5.8S ribosomal RNA", at positions 35 to 154 of the family's 154-position model. The record is from RNAcentral.